CGAUAAUCCUUCCAAUCAGACUCAUUGUCUGGAAGAAUCCGUUAUGUUAGACUGCUAAGAAAUCCAAUGCUUACAGAACAUGAUCUAGUAGCUGGCCGGAAAUGCGAGGAUUGAAGACUCUGGAAGCGCCGUCGGCAACGCAUGCAAUAUGCGAAUGAAAUUUCAGAUGUAAAGGAAAUAAUAGCGAAUAAUUUGUCCCAGUCAAUUGUGGAGGAUUGGAACAUUUGGUAACUCCAAGCAUCAAUUAUGCGAUGAUUGUCAUGUGGCCAUCUAACACAUUUUCUCGUUGGAACAGUUCAAUCGAUGAUGAGGAACUGAUUUUGGAUACUGCAACAGUUAUGGCCAUACUAGCGGGGAAUCCUCCGGAAGCAUAUAAUGUUGGGGAUAGAUUUCGUUGAAGAUAAAAGCUUUUCAUGAGAUGGUGCUACAUAUUCUGCUGUGAUUCAUCGAAUCGACGGCAACUUAAUGUUGGUGCUACAUGGUUCCACUCAGCAUUUUCGUUUUCGGCCAAAACGACCAUUAAACUGAAGUUCGAUGAUUACGAUAGUUUGUUCAAUUUCGACCACAGCUUGCGAAUCCUGUGGAUUCUUCAUAGGAGUAGCUAAAUAGAACAACUAGAAGCAGUAACCCCCAUAGAGCAGAUGAAGAUUUGCCUCUUUCGAAAAUAAUACAUCAAAAAGUGAUGUUAAAAUUGAAGUCACUGAAGGACGGUCAGAGAAACAAAAUUUUACGGGAAGUGGAAAUACAAUCCCAGAUGAAGCAUCCUUACAUUUUCUGUUUGGUUCCACGACGAGCAUCGCAUCUACUUGGCGCUAGAGUUUUUGCUAACAUUUGACACAAUCACCUAUGAACGAUUUGAUGAAUGAAAGGAGGCUUAAUACACUUACCUAGUGGCGGAUGCUCGCAAACGCCAUGCAAACAAUGUUAUUCUUCUCAAUCGUAAACCGGAGAGCAUAUUGCUGACGGACGAAGACACCGUGAAAUUAGCUGAAUUUGUGUGAGCUCACACCCAUUCGAAUCGACGGAAGACGAUGUGCGGAGAUUUCUAGAGAAAUAUAUACGAUGACUCAGUGGGCAUUUUGUGUUUCGAGUUUUGCGUCGGUCUUCCACCGUCCGUGUCAGAAGCGAUGCCAGGUACUAUAAGAUUCGACGGUUGAGAAUUGGCUAUCCACGUUUCCUAAGUGCGGGUGCAAGAGUUUUGAUACAAUAAAAACACAAGACGUAUAUUGAAAAGAAUAACUUCCCAUAGUUCCUACUCACGAAAGUUUAUCUGUAAUCUUGCUAUUUAUUUGACUUUUUUGAAUGUUAAUUAUUCCGCUUGAGAAUGUUUUGAAUUACUUUUUGGGAACAAAUAGUUACGAAAUUUUCACUUUGAUGUUUUUCAUAACAAAAACUGUCAAUCACGUUCUUGCUAUUUUCUCUUGAAGUUGGAGUUUUGACAUAAUCAGGAUGUAAUCAAUAGAAAUUUUUAGCGCUAGAGUUUAUGCAUAGAGUAUUGUAUUAGUCGUGCGACUCGCAAGAACAAGUGUCUAGUUGAAGAUGAAACAAAGUAAAAAUGAAAAAAAGAUUGUUUGAGGUAUUAAAGUCCGAAAAAUAUGGUCGAUACAUGAGUAAUACACAAUUACAUACAAUUGUAAUGAUGAUGAAGCUUGCAAGUGUAAAGGUAUCAGGGUAUCAGAUGCUAGAAUCCAUGUUAAAUGAAUCAAACGUGAAUCAUUCUUUGAAAUAUUCGUCAUAUGUUAUUUGUUACGUAUUGAAUUGAUGCAAUGAGCUAGAAGAUUGAAGAUUAUCUAUCAGGUAUUUAGGGAAUUAAUUUGAAUAGAAUGAUAACUUCCGAUAGUCACGAAACUUAAUUGUUAAUAAUAGCAUCUAUCUGUAGCAUUUUUUGUGCUCGAUCAUGACUUCUAUGCCAAACAGUUAGCCUUGAUUGAUAUUCUUGAAUGGAAAGCUUAUGUGUGUACCAGUGUGUACCAGCCGGUUCGAAUGAAAAUUGAAAUCGGAACUUCAUGAGUGAGUAGCACUUACACUCUUAGUCACUCGGGCCAUGUUAGCCACAGCCACAUACAUGGUUUAAUGAUAAAUCGAAACAAAUUUGAGAGCUACUGCGCAAAACGGGAAAUUCUCGGAUUACCCUGGUGGAGGUAUAUAGUUAACCGACCGAGAAAAUGGCGCAUAAACCAGCAGGUAAAACUCUCAAGGCGGAAGAAUAAUACCGACACACAUCGAUGAUGGCUUGUGACAGUUUGUAUGCCCAGAUGUAUCAGCAAACCUCUUCCCGCCUUUUUUGCACAUUCCCCUCUCACACUCUUCGCUACUUACCACUCCCUUCGCUAUCUUACUGAAGAUACGGGCUCACCUUAGUAAUACUUUCUAUUCAUCUUGGAUCUUCUGUCCUCUGAAAUCUACUAAUGUUUUCUAACAUUUCCAAUUCGAGUGCAGUAUAAAUUUAUUUGUGAGAUCAGACUGAUUGAGUGUGCAACGAACAGUGACAGUUGAAAUCCGCGUUGACGGCAUUGAGCUUCGUUUACUAGUUUAGGGUAGCGUCAAAAAAUAAUUGAUUUUCAGGCGGAAUGAAACCGUCCUUAAAAUUAAAAUUAUGUAUGAAAAUUAAUUUUUUGUUUCAAAUCAGUAUUUUAUUUGAAUGAGAAACACUUUUUUGCAGGUGUUGAAAAAAUUUCAUGCGAAAAUUAUUUUUGAAGAUAACUUUAUAUUAUAAUGAAAAGAUUUAGGUAAAAUGUUAGAAAUGCAUAGACAAAUGGUUAAAUAAAAGUCAGAAAUACGUGUU
Molecule: long non-coding RNA, 2785 nt
Organism: Toxorhynchites rutilus septentrionalis
Lineage: Eukaryota; Metazoa; Arthropoda; Insecta; Diptera; Culicidae
Exons: 4
Source: RefSeq, a predicted model, not a curated record